GAGGCAUUUCUUCUGGUUCACUAUCUUCAUCUUCAUUGAAAGCCGCUGCUACAGAAAGGGUUUUUGGAGCAAGGGUUGGAACGGGCUCUUUAGGCUUAUUUGCUGCUAGUUUGAUGGAUAUUGCAGAUGCCUUCUUUGAUGUCUGACUGCCUAUGGAAAAUCCAAACUUGGACAUUUUGGCAGGGGCAGGCUUUGUGGUGAAGUCUUCAGCUUCUUCAUUAGCUGCCCGUUUCUCUGCGCUGCGACUCGAACUUUCCCCUCCAUUACUCCUGCGGGCGGCGGCCGCCUCGCCUUCUCCCCCUCCGCUCUGCCGUCCGCCAUUUUCCCCCGCCUCC
Molecule: long non-coding RNA, 335 nt
Filed under: Gallus gallus (chicken)
Lineage: Eukaryota; Metazoa; Chordata; Aves; Galliformes; Phasianidae
Source: RNAcentral